AUGACCUUCGGGAGCCUGACAGGUGCUGCAUGGCUGUCGUCAGCUCGUGUCGUGAGAUGUUCGGUUAAGUCCGCUAACGAGCGCAACCCUCGCUGUGUGUUACAAGUGUCACACGGUACUGCCGGUCUAAAAACCGGAGGAAGGUGGGGAUGACGUCAAGUCAGCAUGGCCUUUAUAUCCUGGGCUACACACACGCUACAAUGGCCGGUACAGUGGGUAGCGAAGCCGCGAGGUGGAGCCAAUCCACAAAGCCGGUCUCAGUUCAGAUUGCAGGCUGCAACCCGCCUGCAUGAAGAUGGAGUUGCUAGUAACCGCAGGUCAGCUAUACUGCGGUGAAUACGUUCCCGGGCUU
RNAcentral lists this ribosomal RNA (352 nucleotides) under uncultured Anaerolineaceae bacterium. RNAcentral's name for it is "bacterial SSU rRNA". It matches the Rfam family "Bacterial small subunit ribosomal RNA", at positions 1011 to 1381 of the family's 1533-position model. The record is from RNAcentral. Lineage: Bacteria; Bacillati; Chloroflexota; Anaerolineae; Anaerolineales; Anaerolineaceae.